RNAcentral lists this ribosomal RNA (293 nucleotides) under uncultured bacterium. RNAcentral's name for it is "partial 16S ribosomal RNA". The record is from RNAcentral.
GGACUACCAGGGUAUCUAAUCCCGUUCGCUCCCCUGGCUUUCGUGUGUGAGCGUCAGAAACAGGCCAGUGCGCUGCCUUCGCCUUUGGUGUUCCCCACGAUAUCAACGGAUUUCACCCCUACACCGUGAGUUCCACGCACCUCUCCUGCUCUCAAGUUGUACCGUUUCGCUUGCGCGCCGUAGGUUAAGCCCACGGAUUUUACAAACGACUAAUACAACCGCCUAUGACACCCUUUACGCCCAGUGAUUCCGGAUAAUGCUUGGGGCCUCUGUAUUACCGCGGCUGCUGGCAC